CCCUUAGAUGUUCUGGGCUGCACGCGCGCUACACUGAUACUUUCAGCGAGUCCACCACCUUGCCUGGGAGGGUGGGGUAACCUCUGGAAAGUGCAUCGUGAUGGGGAUCGAUUAUUGUAAUUAUUAAUCUUCAACGAGGAAUUCCUAGUAAGCAUGUGUCAUCAGCCCGUGCUGAUUACGUCCCUGCCCUUUGUACACACCGCCCGUCGCUCCUACCGAUUGAGCGGUCCGGUGAAGACUCAGGAGAUGGGCGCGUGCUUGGUUCGCCAACUGCGCUGCCUGCCAAAUUUGUCUAAACCUUAUCGCUUAGAGGAAGGAGAAGUCGUAACA
This 330-nucleotide ribosomal RNA is filed under the name uncultured eukaryote. RNAcentral's name for it is "partial 18S ribosomal RNA". It matches the Rfam family "Eukaryotic small subunit ribosomal RNA", at positions 1470 to 1796 of the family's 1831-position model. The record is from RNAcentral.